RNAcentral lists this ribosomal RNA (605 nucleotides) under uncultured Dechloromonas sp. RNAcentral describes it as "bacterial SSU rRNA". It matches the Rfam family "Bacterial small subunit ribosomal RNA", at positions 8 to 610 of the family's 1533-position model. The record is from RNAcentral. Lineage: Bacteria; Pseudomonadati; Pseudomonadota; Betaproteobacteria; Rhodocyclales; Azonexaceae.
AGAGUUUGAUCCUGGCUCAGAUUGAACGCUGGCGGCAUGCCUUACACAUGCAAGUCGAACGGUAAUGGGCCUUCGGGUGCCGACGAGUGGCGAACGGGUGAGUAAUGUAUCGGAACGUACCUUUCAGUGGGGGAUAACGUAGCGAAAGUUACGCUAAUACCGCAUAUUCUGUGAGCAGGAAAGCAGGGGAUCGCAAGACCUUGCGCUGAUUGAGCGGCCGAUAUCAGAUUAGCUAGUUGGUGAGGUAAAGGCUCACCAAGGCGACGAUCUGUAGCGGGUCUGAGAGGAUGAUCCGCCACACUGGAACUGAGACACGGUCCAGACUCCUACGGGAGGCAGCAGUGGGGAAUUUUGGACAAUGGGGGCAACCCUGAUCCAGCCAUGCCGCGUGAGUGAAGAAGGCCUUCGGGUUGUAAAGCUCUUUCGGCCGGGAAGAAAUCGUAUGGGUUAAUACCCUGUGCGGAUGACGGUACCGGCAUAAGAAGCACCGGCUAACUACGUGCCAGCAGCCGCGGUAAUACGUAGGGUGCGAGCGUUAAUCGGAAUUACUGGGCGUAAAGCGUGCGCAGGCGGUUUUGUAAGACAGGCGUGAAAUCCCCGGGCUC